GCUCUUAGGGUUCAUUAGUUCCGCUUAGAGAAAGCGUUGCCGCAGGCAACGACCCGAAGGGCGAAGCGCGCAGCGCUGAGUCAUCCUUCCCCCACCACCA
Molecule: small RNA, 100 nt
Filed under: Salmonella enterica subsp. enterica serovar Enteritidis
Lineage: Bacteria; Pseudomonadati; Pseudomonadota; Gammaproteobacteria; Enterobacterales; Enterobacteriaceae
Description: partial RtT sRNA
Rfam family: RtT RNA
About the family: This family represents a bacterial cis-regulatory element known as RtT RNA. The exact function of RtT is unknown although it is thought that it may be involved in changing the cellular response in relation to amino acid starvation.
Source: RNAcentral